UAAUGUGGCGCGGGCAAGGGCCUCACCCCGGCGCGCCGACGUAGGUGAUCCGGGUUUUGGAGCGACCGCGGGCAGCAUGAGCGGCUGCAGGCUCUUCUUGCGUACGGCUGCGGGGGCGCGAACCUGCCAGGCUCUGAUGGACCCUAGGGCGAGCCGGCGUCCGUUGCGCACCUGUCCGCCGCGGCGAGCGUUCGCCAAGGAGCUCUUUCUGGGCAAAAUAGAGAAGAAGGGAGUUUUCCCAUUUCCAGAGGUGAGCCAAGAUGAGCUUAAUGAAAUCAAUCAGUUUGUGGGACCUGUGGAAAGAUUCUUCGCUGAAGAGGUGGACUCUGGAAAAAUUGACCGGGAGGGGAAAAUCCCAGAUGACACUUUGGCGAAGCUGAAGAGCCUGGGGCUUUUUGGGAUGCAGGUCCCAGAAAAAUAUGGUGGCCUGGGCCUCUCCAACACCAUGAGCACUCGGCUGGGGGAGAUUGUCAGCCUGGAUGGAUCCAUUGCUGUGACCCUGGCGGCGCAUCAGGCCCUUGGCCUCAAGGGGAUCGUCUUGUUUGGCACAGAGGCGCAGAAGGCCAAAUACCUGCCCAGGCUGGCUUCUGGGGAGCAUGUCGCAGCCUUCUGCUUCUUGGAGCCCGCCAGCAGGAACGAUGCUGCCUCCAUCCGGACAAGAGCCACACUGAGUGAAGAUGAGACGCACUAUGUCCUCAAUGGCUCCAAGGUCUGGAUCACCAAUGGGGGAAUAGCUGAGAUUUUCACCGUGCUUGCAAAGACCAAGGUGGUUGAUUCCGAUGGCUCUGAAAAGGACAGAAUCACAGCGUUCAUAGUAGAAAGAGACUUUGGUGGAGUCACUAAUGGGAAACCAGGAGAUAAGUUAGGCCUUCGCGGCUCCAACAUUUGUGAAGUCCAUUUUGAAGACACCAGGGUGCCUGUUGUAAAUGUCCUUGGAGAAAUUGGAGGUGGCUUUAAGGUAGCCGUGGACGUCCUCAACAGUGGGCGGUUCAGCCUAGGCAGUGUUGUGGCCGGGAUGCUCAGGAGACUGAUUGAACUGACUGCUGAGUAUGCCUGUGAGAGGAAGCAGUUCACUAGGAAGCUCAGUGAAUUUGGGUUAAUUCAGGAGAAGUUUGCACUGAUGGCUCAGAAGGCAUACGCAAUAGAGAGCAUGUCCUACCUCACUGCAGGGAUGCUGGACCACCCGGAGUGUCCGGACUGCUCCAUUGAGACAGCCAUGGUGAAGGUGUUCAGCUCUGAGGGUGCCUGGCAGUGCGUGAGUGAGGCACUGCAGAUCUUGGGGGGUUUGGGCUACAUAAAGGACCACCCCCACGAGCGCAUGCUUCGUGAUGCCCGUGCGCUGCUCUUCUUGGAGGGAACCAAUGAAAUCCUACGGAUGUUCAUCGCUCUCACGGGCCUGCAGCAUGCCGGGAGCAUCCUGACCCCGAGGAUCAAGGAGCUUAAAGAGAGCAGAGUGGCUAUAGCCAUGGAGACUAUGGCCCGGAGGCUGUGGGACACUGUGGGCCGAACUGUGGACCUGGGGCUGACGGACGACCCUGGAGUUGUGCACCCCAGUCUUGGUGACAGUGUCACCAAGCUGGAGGAGAACGUGUUUUACUUUGGCAGGACUGUGGAGACACUGCUGCUGCGCUUCGGGAAGACCAUCGUGGAGGAGCAGCUGGUGAUGAAGCGGGUGGCUAAUGUCCUCAUCAACCUGUAUGGCAUGACGGCUGUGCUGUCUCGGGCCAGCCGCUCCAUCCGCAUUGGACUCCGGGACCAUGACCACGAGGUUCUGUUGGCCAGCACAUUCUGCAUGGAAGCUUAUUUCCAGAAUCUCUUCAUCCUGGCACAGCUGGAUAAGUAUGAUCCCGGAAACCUGGAUGAGCUGGUUAAGAAAGUGUCACAGCGCAUCCUGGAGAAGCGGACCUAUAUCUGUGCCCACCCUCUGGACAGGACCACCUGAGGCAGGGCCAGCUCCAGGCCACACAGCAUCCACCUCACCCUGACAGACUCUGGUGAACUGUUGCCCUGUGGGCUCCUGAGGGCGCCUGAGGGCUUUUUGCCGCCUGAUUUCUCUUCAGCUGCCCAAUCAGUUGUGGCUUCUCAGACACCAAGAGAGUAGAAGUGUUGGGGCCUGACUGAGUGUGAUGGCUGUGCUGAGUUCCGGACACCUCUGGGGAGGAAGCUACGGGGCUCUGUCUGAGGCAUGGGCUGCCAUCUCCACCAGAUCACAUGUUCAAGAACUUGGAAGCUGUGUCCAGUUAUUCUGUGAAACUUACAAUGUGUGUCAGCAUCAUUAACAGGAAAAAUGUAAAAUGGCACAAUUUGUGUCUCCUUUUCUAGCCUUUCUACACUACUGAGGACUAAUGUUAAGUCCUCAGAACCAGCCAUUAGCAGCUGGUCCUGGUGGUAUACACCUGUGAUUCCAGCACUGUGGGAGGCUGAAGCAGUUCAAGCCCAGCCGGAGAAUCUAGCAACUCCCAGUCUGAAAGGAUUUACACUGAGCACCUUUUGCUUGCCAAGGAGGCGGCAGCACCACUGAGCUAAAUCCCCAGCCACCAAGAACUGACUUUUAUUGGCAAUCACUUGGGGUAAAAGCAACCUAUGUGCAUUUAUCAUGAAAAUGAAUGUGAAAAAAAGUUCAUAAAGGAGAAGACAAAGCAUUCUCAAAUUAGGAACAGACUACACAAAAUGUGAGGUUGUCAUCAGAUCAGGGUGAAGCUAUGGAUUUGGAACAGGAUGAUGGAAUAUAAAGGAAAUGUCAUCAUGCUGGACAGGUCAUGCCCAGUCAUCACUCCUCACCGGCAGGAGGGCCAGUGAGCUGCCACCUGCACUGACCCCUUAAACCUGGAGUGAAACCCCCAGGAUAUCACCUUCUGCCUGACCCACUGGACUUAUACUCAGUUUCUGCAGAAGCCUUUUACUCAUCUCAUUUGGGGUAUAGGGACAUGCCAUCACCCAGGAAGGCUAGAAAAGACUGGAGA
Fukomys damarensis (Damara mole-rat) is the source of this 2963-nucleotide RNA transcript. It is a transcript of the gene named complex I assembly factor ACAD9, mitochondrial, with no coding region annotated. The record is from RefSeq and is a predicted model, not a curated record. The transcript has 19 exons. Lineage: Eukaryota; Metazoa; Chordata; Mammalia; Rodentia; Bathyergidae.